This 204-nucleotide ribosomal RNA is filed under the name uncultured bacterium. RNAcentral's name for it is "partial 16S ribosomal RNA". It matches the Rfam family "Bacterial small subunit ribosomal RNA", at positions 1287 to 1500 of the family's 1533-position model. The record is from RNAcentral.
CUCAGUUCGGAUUGGAGCUGNAACCCGACUCCAUGAAGCUGGAUUCGCUAGUAAUCGCGCAUCAGCCACGGCGCGGUGAAUAGUUCCCGGGCCUUGUACACACCGCCCGUCAAGCCAUGGAAGCCGGGAGUGCCUGAAGUACGCGACCGCAAGGAGCGUCCUAAGGUAAAACCGGUGACUGGGGCUAAGUCGUAACAAGGUAAC